UACGUAGGGUGCAAGCGUUGUUCGGAAUCAUUGGGCGUAAAGCGCGUGUAGGCGGUUAGGUAAGUCGGGUGUGAAAUCCCUGGGCUCAACCGAGGAAGUGCAUCCGAAACUGCUUAGCUAGAGGACGGUAGAGGAAGGUGGAAUUCCUAGUGUAGAGGUGAAAUUCGUAGAUAUUAGGAGGAAUACCGGUGGCGAAGGCGGCCUUCUGGGCCGAUCCUGACGCUGAGACGCGAAAGCGUGGGUAGCAAACAGG
RNAcentral lists this ribosomal RNA (253 nucleotides) under uncultured bacterium. Its description in RNAcentral is "partial 16S ribosomal RNA". It matches the Rfam family "Bacterial small subunit ribosomal RNA", at positions 524 to 776 of the family's 1533-position model. The record is from RNAcentral.